ACACUCACCUAGAUUGUCUGACUCUUGACCCUCCUUCACCCAAAUCUAGAUCAUUCUCUUGCUGAAUCCUACCAAGGGGUGCUUAACUCCCUGUGUUUACCUUUGUAAAUUCACUUUCUAUUUUCCAAAGGACUCAGGUUGGGGCCCAGGCCUGUGGGCUGAUGGCAAAGAAGUAACUAGAAAUUGGCUCCCCAAACAGCAGCUUCUGAAGCUUUCUGGAGGAUAAAGCCAGAGUUCUCAAAGCAGGUAGGAGCAGGAGACCAUGUCCCACCCUGGAGCCCCCAACUUGGCUUGGAGGCCUCCCUGGGCACAGAGGCAGUGAAAGUCAUCAGCACCUUUCCUUGAGCCAGUAGAGAGGUUCUAGGGAACCUCCCUACUUCCUAUGUAAACUCAUCCCUCUGGGCAGCACCCCCCUUUCUAGCAGACACUGCACUCGCACAGCGGCUUUCUCAGGAUGCUGUGUGCUGCCAUGCUCGUCCCCCUCAGGGCUUUCCAGGGCAGUGGUGGGUGUGGAAAGGCCCCUCCUGUUUAGAUGUGUACAGGGAAGCAUGUGGAUGAAGGCAUUGCUAGGUGAUGCUGAGAGGGCAACAGCCUGCUGCAGAUUGCGGAAGACAUGGCGUUGUCAGUGUGCAAGAGGCCAGCUGGGCCCAGGGUAGAGGGGAGCUGGUGCCCAGCACCAGGUCCAUGGGGGAGCCAAGCAGCUGGGAGGACCAGCCUCGGGAAGGGUGUGACACAGAGUGGACAAUGAUAAAGAAAACAAGGGACCAAAGGGACCAGGGCUGAGGCUCUUCUGGCUUGCAGGAGCUGGCUGUGUGGCCUUCCACAUGGUACCUCCCUUCCAUGGGCCUCUGCCUGCCUGGGGACAUAUCAGAGACUGAAGUCUUAACAGGCGCUGGUUACCCAGAACAGCACAUGUUUUCAACAAGAGGAUUGGCUGAAAUCAGCGUUCUCAAACAUUUUUCUAUGAACAGAGGUUUCCACUGCUGGGCCAUCCCCAGGGGAGCCCGUCCUGAGGAGGAGUCCUGGCCACACUUACUCGCUGUCUCACUUCCAUGCAUUCCUGGAGUCCUUAGGGGAAUUUGUCUUCUGAGCUGACCUGGUGCAGUGGUUUUUGUUGCCUGAAUGAAUAAAUUUGCUUAUUGAUUGGGUCCUGAUGGCUCCCGUCUUCGAGUUCUG
Molecule: long non-coding RNA, 1176 nt
Organism: Cebus imitator (Panamanian white-faced capuchin)
Lineage: Eukaryota; Metazoa; Chordata; Mammalia; Primates; Cebidae
Exons: 2
Source: RefSeq, a predicted model, not a curated record